AAAAAAAAAAAAAAACCCAACAAACACACACCACCACCACCACCAAAAUGCACAAAAUAUGGCAUUAAUGCUUAGCAAGAAUAGAAAGAUGGAUGUAGUUCAGCAUGGUAAGCUCUAGAGAUAAAAAACCUGCCCUUUGAAAUGCUUCACACAUGCACACAUAAACUUAAAGCUGAUAUUCUUGAGCAUUAUCCCAAUGCAUGCUGAAAGCAAUAUUUUAAAUUUGGAACAGU
This 233-nucleotide unclassified non-coding RNA is filed under the name Hevea brasiliensis (rubber tree). Lineage: Eukaryota; Viridiplantae; Streptophyta; Magnoliopsida; Malpighiales; Euphorbiaceae. The record is from RNAcentral.